GACGAACGCUGGCGGCGUGCUUAACACAUGCAAGUCGAACGGAAAGGCCCUGCUUUUGUGGGGUGCUCGAGUGGCGAACGGGUGAGUAACACGUGAGUAACCUGCCCUUGACUUUGGGAUAACUUCAGGAAACUGGGGCUAAUACCGGAUAGGAGCUCCUGCUGCAUGGUGGGGGUUGGAAAGUUUCGGCGGUUGGGGAUGGACUCGCGGCUUAUCAGCUUGUUGGUGGGGUAGUGGCUUACCAAGGCUUUGACGGGUAGCCGGCCUGAGAGGGUGACCGGCCACAUUGGGACUGAGAUACGGCCCAGACUCCUACGGGAGGCAGCAGUGGGGAAUAUUGAACAAUGGGCGGAAGCCUGAUGCAGCAACGCCGCGUGCGGGAUGACGGCCUUAGGGUUGUAAACCGCUUUCGCCUGUGACGAAGCGUGAGUGACGGUAAUGGGUAAAGAAGCACCGGCUAACUACGUG
RNAcentral lists this ribosomal RNA (468 nucleotides) under uncultured bacterium. RNAcentral describes it as "partial 16S ribosomal RNA". It matches the Rfam family "Bacterial small subunit ribosomal RNA", at positions 28 to 507 of the family's 1533-position model. The record is from RNAcentral.